Lactuca sativa (garden lettuce) is the source of this 1402-nucleotide long non-coding RNA. RefSeq lists it as uncharacterized. NCBI's taxonomy places the organism in Eukaryota, Viridiplantae, Streptophyta, Magnoliopsida, Asterales, Asteraceae. The record is from RefSeq and is a predicted model, not a curated record.
GUUACGCCCACACAUUUCUUAACCAUUAUAUAUACGAUGUUCAGUUUCAUUUCAAUACGAUUUCGCAGCCGCUGUCAAUCUAGAUCAGAAUCGUUUCUUACAUAUAUGAAAAUCAUGCAUUGUUUUCAUUAAGUUAUCGACUCAUGAUAAUCACCAAGAGUUUCAUGUGUUGAUUUUAUUUUUGUUUAUCAUGCACAAUAGAUCCAAAAAGUACUGAUAGUAAGGAUCCGCCAUAUACAUUUUGGUGUUUCCAAGAUUGUGUUGUUCGGCUGUCAGUCAUAUUAUACAUUGAUCUGUAUUCUGUUGUCAGCCUAGUAGAAUCAGAUCGGUAUCAGUUAGGUGUUCAUAGCAUUUCAAGAGUUGGUUUUGUGGGUUUGUCCGAGGCCCCUGUAUCUUAUGCUUGGAAAGGAUGAAUUGGAUGGUUGAGAAGAAUCCAGAGAUGAUGGGACAAAACAUUUGUAUGUUUCAGUAGCCUAGCGUAAAGAAGAAAGAAUGGCUACCCUGUAAGUAACCUUACAUGACAAUGAUUUCUUGAUUUCUUCAACGCCUGUAAGCAGUCAAUCCAACGAAUCUUCCAUGAAGCUGCUACACCAAUUUCAACAUUAACUUCAAGACCUGAAAGAAACCUCACAACAUCUGAGUUUAUAGCAAGAAACUUGGCCUUAUGAAGCUGUUUGAAAGCCUUGAUCACCAAUUCAACAACCUCUGGUUGCUUAAGAUCAGUGGCUGAUAAUGAAAAGCGGGCCAUACCAGAUUUGGUGCUGAGAGUAUAAACUCAGAAUUGUGAUUAAGAUCUAUCAGACUCAGAUUUUGUAAUGAAUUUGAUGUGACUAUUGGAAUUUACCAACGAGGCAGCGAUCCGUUUAGGCUUGUACUUGUAGGGUUAUAUCGAUUAGUAUAACCCAUUACUCUAUUACCCUUUUUGGACUUAAAAAAAAUUGAAACUUUGAGGAAACUUCACAGAAACGUUUCUGGAUUUCCCGAUUUGUCCCGGAAAAGUUUCCCAGCUGUUUCCUAGGCGUUUCUUUUUCCCCCACGUUUCAGAUACGGGUACGGCCUGUUUGGUUUAAUUUAUUAGAUAAAUGGUGAAAACAAUAAACAUGAACUUUUGUUAUAACAGAGGCCAACUUGGACUCUAUAUCGGGAUAUAUCAAUUAGUUCGAUUGAUUAAAAAAAGCCUAAGUACAAAACAUCUACUACACAAGCUUUAUACUUGUCUUUGCUGAUAAAAGUAGCAGAUACAGUGUUCUUUGGCUGCAGGGUGGAUUAAUCUUUGUUUAAAACUUGUUUUAUUUUCUGUCAGGGAAUUUGUAUGAGUACAAAUAUAUAUCAAAAUGUGUAUCUGUAUGUGUAUGUAUAUGAAUUUGAAUACCACAAGAUCCUAUAAACAUAUUUCACAUUA